GCCCUGAUAGCUCAGACGGUAGAGCGUUACCUUGGUAAGGUAAAGGUCGCGAGUAAGCCUUUUUCUUUCCA
This 71-nucleotide transfer RNA is filed under the name archaeon. RNAcentral's name for it is "tRNA-Thr". The record is from RNAcentral.